UUGUUUCUGCUCCAAGGAGGGUAAUAGUCAACUCUACCUCUCCAUUCAGUGUUUUCAGGACUAUGCUGUAGAUGCAAGACAGAUGAAGAGAGCUGGAGAAGUCUGUUCCCAAAGGUGCUCAAAAUCCAAGUGCUCACAGCUGAUGAGGCAAACCUGGGAAGUGGAGAGAACAAUGAUAAUAUUUGAGAAAACAUUUUGCUGGACCAAGUCUGUUUCAGCCCAGAAAUAGCAGAGUCCUAUGUGCAUGUAGCAUACCUGCACACAAGAAUAAGAUAUCUAUUAUAAGCCCCUAUUUCAAAUAAAUAACUGUCAGUAAGGAAUAAGAUUGCUUGUGGUAAUAAAAUAACCAUUUGACAGUU
Melopsittacus undulatus (budgerigar) is the source of this 359-nucleotide long non-coding RNA. RefSeq lists it as uncharacterized. The record is from RefSeq and is a predicted model, not a curated record. The transcript is spliced from 2 exons. Lineage: Eukaryota; Metazoa; Chordata; Aves; Psittaciformes; Psittaculidae.